RNAcentral lists this small RNA (35 nucleotides) under Bombyx mori (domestic silkworm). RNAcentral describes it as "ovarian small RNA-14795". The record is from RNAcentral. Lineage: Eukaryota; Metazoa; Arthropoda; Insecta; Lepidoptera; Bombycidae.
CUGAAAUCCAGUUUCACCAGGACAGUCAGAAUGGA